RNAcentral lists this ribosomal RNA (882 nucleotides) under uncultured fungus. Its description in RNAcentral is "eukaryotic LSU rRNA". The stretch from base 433 to 586 matches the Rfam family "5.8S ribosomal RNA". Lineage: Eukaryota; Fungi. The record is from RNAcentral.
UUCUUGGUCAUUUAGAGGAAGUAAAAGUCGUAACAAGGUUUCCGUAGGUGAACCUGCGGAAGGAUCAUUAAAGAAAUUUAAUAAUUUUGAAAAUGGAUUUUUUUGUUUUGGCAAGAGCAUGAGAGCUUUUACUGGGCAAGAAGACAAGAGAUGGAGAGUCCAGCCGGGCCUGCGCUUAAGUGCGCGGUCUUGCUAGGCUUGUAAGUUUCUUUCUUGCUAUUCCAAACGGUGAGAGAUUUCUGUGCUUUUGUUAUAGGACAAUUAAAACCGUUUCAAUACAACACACUGUGGAGUUUUCAUAUCUUUGCAACUUUUUCUUUGGGCAUUCGAGCAAUCGGGGCCCAGAGGUAACAAACACAAACAAUUUUAUCUAUUCAUUAAAUUUUUGUCAAAAACAAGAAUUUUCGUAACUGGAAAUUUUAAAAUAUUAAAAACUUUCAACAACGGAUCUCUUGGUUCUCGCAUCGAUGAAGAACGCAGCGAAAUGCGAUACGUAAUGUGAAUUGCAGAAUUCCGUGAGUCAUCGAAUCUUUGAACGCACAUUGCGCCCCUUGGUAUUCCAGGGGGCAUGCCUGUUUGAGCGUCAUUUCCUUCUCAAACAUUCUGUUUGGUAGUGAGUGAUACUCUUUGGAGUUAACUUGAAAUUGCUGGCCUUUUCAUUGGAUGUUUUUUUUCCAAAGAGAGGUUUCUCUGCGUGCUUGAGGUAUAAUGCAAGUACGGUCGUUUUAGGUUUUACCAACUGCGGCUAAUCUUUUUUUAUACUGAGCGUAUUGGAACGUUAUCGAUAAGAAGAGAGCGUCUAGGCGAACAAUGUUCUUAAAGUUUGACCUCAAAUCAGGUAGGAGUACCCGCUGAACUUAAGCAUAUCAAUAAGCGGAGGAA